RNAcentral lists this ribosomal RNA (1552 nucleotides) under Escherichia coli. Its description in RNAcentral is "bacterial SSU rRNA". It matches the Rfam family "Bacterial small subunit ribosomal RNA". The record is from RNAcentral. Lineage: Bacteria; Pseudomonadati; Pseudomonadota; Gammaproteobacteria; Enterobacterales; Enterobacteriaceae.
AAAUUGAAGAGUUUGAUCAUGGCUCAGAUUGAACGCUGGCGGCAGGCCUAACACAUGCAAGUCGAACGGUAACAGGAAGCAGCUUGCUGCUUCGCUGACGAGUGGCGGACGGGUGAGUAAUGUCUGGGAAACUGCCUGAUGGAGGGGGAUAACUACUGGAAACGGUAGCUAAUACCGCAUAAUGUCGCAAGACCAAAGAGGGGGACCUUCGGGCCUCUUGCCAUCGGAUGUGCCCAGAUGGGAUUAGCUUGUUGGUGGGGUAACGGCUCACCAAGGCGACGAUCCCUAGCUGGUCUGAGAGGAUGACCAGCCACACUGGAACUGAGACACGGUCCAGACUCCUACGGGAGGCAGCAGUGGGGAAUAUUGCACAAUGGGCGCAAGCCUGAUGCAGCCAUGCCGCGUGUAUGAAGAAGGCCUUCGGGUUGUAAAGUACUUUCAGCGGGGAGGAAGGGAGUAAAGUUAAUACCUUUGCUCAUUGACGUUACCCGCAGAAGAAGCACCGGCUAACUCCGUGCCAGCAGCCGCGGUAAUACGGAGGGUGCAAGCGUUAAUCGGAAUUACUGGGCGUAAAGCGCACGCAGGCGGUUUGUUAAGUCAGAUGUGAAAUCCCCGGGCUCAACCUGGGAACUGCAUCUGAUACUGGCAAGCUUGAGUCUCGUAGAGGGGGGUAGAAUUCCAGGUGUAGCGGUGAAAUGCGUAGAGAUCUGGAGGAAUACCGGUGGCGAAGGCGGCCCCCUGGACGAAGACUGACGCUCAGGUGCGAAAGCGUGGGGAGCAAACAGGAUUAGAUACCCUGGUAGUCCACGCCGUAAACGAUGUCGACUUGGAGGUUGUGCCCUUGAGGCGUGGCUUCCGGAGCUAACGCGUUAAGUCGACCGCCUGGGGAGUACGGCCGCAAGGUUAAAACUCAAAUGAAUUGACGGGGGCCCGCACAAGCGGUGGAGCAUGUGGUUUAAUUCGAUGCAACGCGAAGAACCUUACCUGGUCUUGACAUCCACGGAAGUUUUCAGAGAUGAGAAUGUGCCUUCGGGAACCGUGAGACAGGUGCUGCAUGGCUGUCGUCAGCUCGUGUUGUGAAAUGUUGGGUUAAGUCCCGCAACGAGCGCAACCCUUAUCCUUUGUUGCCAGCGGUCCGGCCGGGAACUCAAAGGAGACUGCCAGUGAUAAACUGGAGGAAGGUGGGGAUGACGUCAAGUCAUCAUGGCCCUUACGACCAGGGCUACACACGUGCUACAAUGGCGCAUACAAAGAGAAGCGACCUCGCGAGAGCAAGCGGACCUCAUAAAGUGCGUCGUAGUCCGGAUUGGAGUCUGCAACUCGACUCCAUGAAGUCGGAAUCGCUAGUAAUCGUGGAUCAGAAUGCCACGGUGAAUACGUUCCCGGGCCUUGUACACACCGCCCGUCACACCAUGGGAGUGGGUUGCAAAAGAAGUAGGUAGCUUAACCUUCGGGAGGGCGCUUACCACUUUGUGAUUCAUGACUGGGGUGAAGUCGUAACAAGGUAACCGUAGGGGAACCUGCGGUUGGAUCACCUCCUUACCUUAAAGAA